GACCAACUAAGUUUGUUAUUGGUAUGAGCUUUCGUGAAGAAGUGUGCAUGCACAUGAAAGCUCAUACCAAUAACAAACUUAGUUGCUC
Molecule: non-coding RNA, 88 nt
Organism: Podarcis lilfordi (Lilford's wall lizard)
Lineage: Eukaryota; Metazoa; Chordata; Lepidosauria; Squamata; Lacertidae
Source: the annotation of a GenBank genome assembly